This 191-nucleotide non-coding RNA is filed under the name Thermobacillus composti. RNAcentral describes it as "FMN sequence". It matches the Rfam family "FMN riboswitch aptamer (RFN element)". From Rfam's summary of the family: The RFN element is a highly conserved domain that is found frequently in the 5'-untranslated regions of prokaryotic mRNAs that encode for flavin mononucleotide (FMN) biosynthesis and transport proteins. This element is a metabolite-dependent riboswitch that directly binds FMN in the absence of proteins. In Bacillus subtilis, the riboswitch most likely controls gene expression by causing premature transcription termination within the 5' untranslated region of the ribDEAHT operon and precluding access to the ribosome-binding site of ypaA mRNA. Lineage: Bacteria; Bacillati; Bacillota; Bacilli; Caryophanales; Paenibacillaceae. The record is from RNAcentral. RNAcentral also lists the same sequence under 1 other name.
CGUUUCCUUCGGGGCAGGGUGGAAGUCCCUACCGGCGGUGAUCGCGGUUCCAUGUGCGGCGGAAUGCCGCGGAACCGGCGUCAGCCCGUGACCCGGGCCGAAAACGGAUGGCACAUUGGCCGGACGGCGGCACGGUGGAUCCGGUGCAAUUCCGGAGCCGACAGUAACAGUCUGGAUGGGAGAAGGAAGCG